Molecule: ribosomal RNA, 496 nt
Filed under: uncultured Streptococcus sp.
Lineage: Bacteria; Bacillati; Bacillota; Bacilli; Lactobacillales; Streptococcaceae
Description: bacterial SSU rRNA
Rfam family: Bacterial small subunit ribosomal RNA
Source: RNAcentral
GACGAACGCUGGCGGCGUGCCUAAUACAUGCAAGUAGAACGCUGAAGGAGGAGCUUGCUUCUCUGGAUGAGUUGCGAACGGGCGAGUAACGCGUAGGUAACCUGCCUGGUAGCGGGGGAUAACUAUUGGAAACGAUAGCUAAUACCGCAUAACAGUAGAUGUUGCAUGACAUUUGCUUAAAAGGUGCAAUUGCAUCACUACCAGAUGGACCUGCGUUGUAUUAGCUAGUUGGUGGGGUAACGGCUCACCAAGGCGACGAUACAUAGCCGACCUGAGAGGGUGAUCGGCCACACUGGGACUGAGACACGGCCCAGACUCCUACGGGAGGCAGCAGUAGGGAAUCUUCGGCAAUGGACGGAAGCCUGACCGAGCAACGCCGCGUGAGUGAAGAAGGUUUUCGGAUCGUAAAGCUCUGUUGUAAGAGAAGAACGAGUGUGAGAGUGGAAAGUUCACACUGUGACGGUAUCUUACCAGAAAGGGACGGCUAACUACGUGC